GACGAACGCUGGCGGCGUGCUUAACACAUGCAAGUCGAACGGAAAGGCCCUGCUUUUGUGGGGUGCUCGAGUGGCGAACGGGUGAGUAACACGUGAGUAACCUGCCCUUGACUUUGGGAUAACUUCAGGAAACUGGGGCUAAUACCGGAUAGGAGCUCCUGCUGCAUGGUGGGGGUUGGAAAGUUUCGGCGGUUGGGGAUGGACUCGCGGCUUAUCAGCUUGUUGGUGGGGUAGUGGCUUACCAAGGCUUUGACGGGUAGCGGCCUGAGAGGGUGACCGGCCACAUUGGGACUGAGAUACGGCCCAGACUCCUACGGGAGGCAGCAGGGGGGAAUAUUGCACAAUGGGCGGAAGCCUGAUGCAGCAACGCCGCGUGCGGGAUGACGGCCUUCGGGUUGUAAACCGCUUUCGCCUGUGACGAAGCGUGAGUGACGGUAAUGGGUAAAGAAGCACCGGCUAACUACGUG
This 467-nucleotide ribosomal RNA is filed under the name uncultured bacterium. RNAcentral describes it as "partial 16S ribosomal RNA". It matches the Rfam family "Bacterial small subunit ribosomal RNA", at positions 28 to 507 of the family's 1533-position model. The record is from RNAcentral.